Triticum aestivum (bread wheat) is the source of this 126-nucleotide non-coding RNA. The record is from Rfam. Lineage: Eukaryota; Viridiplantae; Streptophyta; Magnoliopsida; Poales; Poaceae.
UAUGUACUCCCUCCGUCCGAAAAAGCUUGUCCCUCAAAUGGAUGUAUCUAACACCAAGUUAGUGCUAGAUACAUCCAUUUGAGGGACAAGCUUGGGACAAGUUUUUUCGAACGGAGGGAGUACUGC